Molecule: ribosomal RNA, 296 nt
Filed under: uncultured bacterium
Lineage: Bacteria
Description: partial 16S ribosomal RNA
Rfam family: Bacterial small subunit ribosomal RNA
Source: RNAcentral
CGGGAACGGGUACGGUAACGGUAACGUAACGGUACGGGUACCGUAACCGUACCGUAACCCGUAAAACGGGAACGGGUAAGUAACACUUGGAAACAGGUGCUAAUACCGCAUAACCAUAGUUACCGCAUGGUAACUAUGUAAAAGGUGGCUAUACUACCGCUUUUGGAUGGGCCCGCGGCGCAUUAGCUAGUUGGUAGGGUAAAGGCUUACCAAGGCAAUGAUGCGUAGCCGAAUUGAGAGGUUGAUCGGCCACAUUGGGACUGAGACACGGCCCAAACUCCUACGGGAGGCAGCAG